RNAcentral lists this long non-coding RNA (605 nucleotides) under Homo sapiens (human). Its description in RNAcentral is "HSALNT0298748". The record is from RNAcentral. Lineage: Eukaryota; Metazoa; Chordata; Mammalia; Primates; Hominidae.
GAGACCUUUCCUCGUCUGUGCACAGACUGGCAGCCGACUCUGGAACCCAGAUUGUUGCUUCCCGGUCUAGUGAUCCUUCCUCCAUAGUCUGAUACUCCCACACGGGAGGUACUGGAACAACUAGGUCAGCUACAGGACUUGGGGGAUCGGAUGCCCUGUGGGGAGGAGAGGAUUAAGGAGUGGGGCAGACAAACCCGGGACCAAUCUCAGACUAAUCAGAAGGCUGACCAACAAGCUAAAAUUUCCACUAUUACUGCAGACUCAGGCCCAGAAGAACCGGAUUGGGCUGCGCUCAUGCAAUGGGUGCAUCUCCAGUGAGGACAUCUAGGCAUCCAGGGAACCAUGGCUUGGGGACAGCAAAGAGGGAUAUCAUUACCGAAGGAUGUGGUUCACACAACUUUAUCCCAACGCACUACACGCCAACAGUUAAAAACUAAGCCAGUUCCUCAGAGGGUUUUGGGGCACAUUCAUAGGGGAAAAAUGCCAGGACAAAUUUGGCAAAUGGACUAUACUUGUCCUUUGCCACUUCUAAAGGGUGCCAAUACAUAUGUACUUCUGUAGACACCUGCUCAGGGUUCCUAGUAGCCUGCGCUUAUGCUAAUGCU